AACAGUGGCAAUGACAAGAAUUCUGCUUCUGAGGUGUGCAGCAAGGACUGAAAAAGCAGAGCACCUGGCUUUUGAGAAGCCAGAGUGAAGUCUAGAGACCAGACACUCCUCUACUGUGUCUCUUCAGACACCUCAGCCCAACCGCUGGCUGCAGGACAUGAGAAGGACCCAAUCCUCCCAAAGGGCACGCGUCCAGCGGCUGAGCACUGCAGUCCCAGGGGAACGCCAUCUAGCAAGGCUCACUGCAAGCCCAGCAGCUGCGGAAGCCUUCUGCUUUAGAAGCCUUGCUCCAGUCACGGCAGCUCCAGGGAACUUGGAUUUGCUUUGGAAGACUCCACUCCAGCAAACACCCUUUGGUGACCUUGAGAUGACCCUCAGCACCCUUCAGGUUUCUCACCGGUGCAGCUCCCCUAUAGCAACUCAGCAGACUCUAAUUCUAAUUUGUAGAAUUAGAAGCCAUUCACAUGAGGCGAUGUGAUUGGAAGACCUGCGAUCUGAGCAGGCCCACAUCUCACACCCCUCUCUACUCCUCAGUUUUGUAGGCUCCAUCAUAGUGGCUUCUCUCCCUCUUACUGAUACUCAGUGUUGAAAUAUUAGGUCCCGUAACACCUUCUCCUCAGUGGUCUUUGGGCUGCUUGUGGUCUUCAUCACGGGUCUAGUGGGCUGAGCUGGUUGAGCAAAGACAAGAGACAUCUCCAGGCUCCCAGACCUGACAGCAGCAGUUAGGAUAGAGCUGAAGAGUCCAAGCACUUAGAGCUAGGGACUCAAGUACCCAGAUUCCAGGGCUGUAACACUAGAAGAGUUCUAGAAAGUGGCUGUGAUGGUCAGUGUUAAUAGCUUUAUUAUUAACUCCAAGUUAAUAAUCACUCAGGAGGUGGAUCUUUGAACAUGCCUGUGGGGAGAUUAUUUUGAUUAUAUUAAUUGAUGCAGGAAGAUAUUUGAAUCGUGGAAGGAGGCACCAUUUCAUGGGUUGAGCCCUGAACUGAAUGAAAGAGAAGGGGUGGGGCUGAGCACAGUCAUUUAUUGCUCCCCUGACUGUGUGUAUAAUAUGAUCAGCUGCUUCAACUCCUGUUUCAUGCCAUGAUGGGUUAUGCCUUGAACUGUGAGCUAAAAUAAAACCACCUCUCUUUUGUUGCUUUUGUCAGAGUAUUAUAGCUCAGCAACUAGAAAAGAAGUAAGACAGUGGUCAAGGGUAGAAACUAAGAAGAGCAUGAAAGUCAACAGUCUUGGGAAGGUAAGAAAUGGGAGAAGCUGAGGUUGUGGCAGAUGGGUCCGUAAGGAGAGGAAGAAAGGACCCAGACUAUAAGGACUCAAAGCCUUGAUCACUAGAAAGGCUUAAGAAAGAGCAGCCACGGUGUUAUAUGACAAAAACCUUUCCUGGGGAGAUACAACACACAAGCCUUUUCACUCCAAAUAGGGAGCCCAGGACAGACCAAAGUACAGAUAUGACCAAAGUCCAACUUGGUGAACCCUGAGUUUUACUGGGGUUAUUUACAGAAAUAUGGGUGAGGGGUUACCAGAGCAGAAAUGAGUCAGACAGCUGCAUCACCAAAGUCCACUCCAACAUGGGUGACUACUCAUGGACACUGGGAACCUGGACCAUGCGUCAAAACCUGCAGGUUGGAGAGUGUUCUUUCCAAAUGACUCUGGUCUAAACAUCUCCCAGGAGACUCAGCCACUAGUUUCUGUUUCUUCCAGGAAGCAGGUCUGCUUUUGUGGAUGUAAACAUAGUUUUGUUUUAAUCCCAGGUGUGGGAUGUGGGACUGAUUCAGAUAGUCCCCAGCAGCAAACUAUUUUCUUUGUGCGGGCGCUGAAAGGAGCUCUUUGACAGCUGCAGAUAGUUUAAAUCUGAGUACUCUGGAAAUCCAGAGAAUAAAUCACAGCACCCAGAGAGUGUGGAGCAGCUCCAAGAAAGAACAAGGCUGCUGCUGCUUCCCCUGUGGCUCCUGUUGCUGUUGUUGCAGUGAGACAAGAAGUUGGAGAUCUCCUGAAACAAGGAUUGAACUGGCUCCAAGGAACCUGAUGACCCUAACAGCAGGAAGCAGCUAAGAGAACUGUGACCCCUCUCCCACUAACCUUUUCUUUCCCCUAUCUGGUAUUGGGAUGUUGGAAGGCAUUGGGGUGGAAUAGGGAGAAAGAGAUAUAAGAAAUGUAAAUAAAAGAGUUUUUAAAAGUA
Molecule: long non-coding RNA, 2176 nt
Organism: Meriones unguiculatus (Mongolian gerbil)
Lineage: Eukaryota; Metazoa; Chordata; Mammalia; Rodentia; Muridae
Exons: 2
Source: RefSeq, a predicted model, not a curated record